GCAAGUCUGGUGCCAGCAGCCGCGGUAAUUCCAGCUCCAAUAGCGUAUAUUAAAGUUGUUGCAGUUAAAAAGCUCGUAGUUGAACCUUGGGCCUGGCUGACCGGUCCGCCUCACCGCGUGCACUGGUUCGGCCGGGCCUUUCCUUCUGGGGAGCCGCAUGCCCUUCACUGGGUGUGUCGGGGAACCAGGACUUUUACUUUGAAAAAAUUAGAGUGUUCAAAGCAGGCCUAUGCUCGAAUACAUUAGCAUGGAAUAAUAGAAUAGGACGUGUGGUUCUAUUUUGUUGGUUUCUAGGACCGCCGUAAUGAUUAAUAGGGAUAGUCGGGGGCAUCAGUAUUCAAUUGUCAGAGGUGAAAUUCUUGGAUUUAUUGAAGGCUAACUACUGCGAAAGCAUUUGCCAAGGAUGUUUUCAUUAAUCAGUGAACGAAAGUUAGGGGAUCGAAGACGAUCAGAUACCGUCGUAGUCUUAACCAUAAACUAUGCCGACUAGGGAUCGGGCGAUGUUAUCUUUUUGACUCGCUCGGCACCUCACGAGAAAUCAAAGUUUUUGGGUUCUGGGGGGAGUAUGGUCGCAAGGCUGAAACUUAAAGGAAUUGACGGAAG
This 603-nucleotide ribosomal RNA is filed under the name Clarireedia homoeocarpa. Its description in RNAcentral is "SSU rRNA". It matches the Rfam family "Eukaryotic small subunit ribosomal RNA", at positions 555 to 1162 of the family's 1831-position model. Lineage: Eukaryota; Fungi; Ascomycota; Leotiomycetes; Helotiales; Rutstroemiaceae. The record is from RNAcentral.